RNAcentral lists this ribosomal RNA (464 nucleotides) under uncultured bacterium. Its description in RNAcentral is "partial 16S ribosomal RNA". It matches the Rfam family "Bacterial small subunit ribosomal RNA", at positions 28 to 507 of the family's 1533-position model. The record is from RNAcentral.
GACGAACGCUGGCGGCGUGCUUAACACAUGCAAGUCGAACGGAAAGGCCCAGCUUGCUGGGUGCUCGAGUGGCGAACGGGUGAGUAACACGUGGGUGAUCUGCCCCUAACUUCGGGAUAAGCUUGGGAAACUGGGUCUAAUACCGGAUAGGACAAUCGUUUAGUGUCGGUUGUGGAAAGUUUUUUCGGUUAGGGAUGAGCCCGCGGCCUAUCAGCUUGUUGGUGGGGUAAUGGCCUACCAAGGCGUCGACGGGUAGCCGGCCUGAGAGGGUGGACGGCCACAUUGGGACUGAGAUACGGCCCAGACUCCUACGGGAGGCAGCAGUGGGGAAUAUUGCACAAUGGGCGCAAGCCUGGUGCAGCGACGCCGCGUGGGGGAUGACGGCCUUCGGGUUGUAAACCUCUUUCGACAGGGACGAAGCUUUGGUGACGGUACCUGUAUAAGAAGCACCGGCUAACUACGUG